CUGACCGUAAACGAUGCCAACUAGCGAUCCGCCGGCGGAUAUUUCGCCCUGGUGGGGAGCUUCCCGGAAACGAAAGUCUUCCGGUUCCGGGGGAAGUAUGGUUGCAAAGCUGAAACUUAAAGGAAUUGACGGAAGGGCACCACCAGGAGUGGAGCCUGCGGCUUAAUUUGACUCAACACGGGGAAACUCACCCGGCCCGGACACCGUGAGGAUUGACAGAUUGAAAGCUCUUUCUUGAUUCGGUGGUUGGUGGUGCAUGGCCGUUCUUAGUUCGUGGAGCGAUUUGUCUGGUUUAUUCCGAUAACGAGCGAGACUCUAGCUUACUAAAUAGUCUGGUCUUUAUUACUGAGGCCUGACUUCUUAGAGGGAUUUUCGGUGUUCAGCCGCACGAGAUUGAGCAAUAACAGGUCUGUGAUGCCCUUAGAUGUCCGGGGCUGCACGCGCGCUACACUGGCGAAAUCAGCGUGCUUUUCCUAUCUCGAAAGAGAUUGGUAAACCGAUGAAAAUUUGCCGUGAUUGGGAUCGGAAAUUGCAAUUAUUUUCCGUGAACGAGGAAUUCCAAGUAAGUGCGAGUCAUCAACUCGCGUUG
RNAcentral lists this ribosomal RNA (589 nucleotides) under Aphelenchus avenae. RNAcentral describes it as "SSU rRNA". It matches the Rfam family "Eukaryotic small subunit ribosomal RNA", at positions 1026 to 1643 of the family's 1831-position model. The record is from RNAcentral. Lineage: Eukaryota; Metazoa; Nematoda; Chromadorea; Rhabditida; Aphelenchidae.